ACGUGACUUAUCUUUUUUAAUUUUUUUCAUAGUUUUUUCAAAUAAGACGGACGGUAAACGUUGGACACGGAUUUCCACUGCUGCACUUAUUUUGGGAUGGAGGUAGGGGCUGUUUGGUUUAAUGCUUCAACUUGCCACACCACACUUUAGACUGCCACACCUCCUUAGCCUUGUGUUUGGUUCAUUACCUUAAUUAUGCCAAGCCACACUUUCUUACCAUCUUACCCACAUGUCAUAGACUCAAUCUUUUGCCUAACUUUACCACAAAUGUGGCUUACAAUUUGUAGGCCACAAAAAGUGUGGCAAGCCACACUUACCUAACAUUGUCUAAAGUGAGUUAUGACAAUGUUAGUUAAGAACCAAACAUGCUGGUAGUACUUCAAGAAUUUAUCUGGCAGGCAACAUAUGCUACUGGACGCUGAUAUUUGGCACCGGAUUCAGCCCAUCUAAUUUUGAGCCCAACCAGAUCUUAUCAUAUCUGUCAAAGUUUAUUCGGCCCAACUAUAUAUCAUUACGAGGCCCACCAGUGGCAGUGCUCCCCUCCCUAUUGGACCGGAGUACAACAAAGCCCAAUUGAAGAGACGGCCCAAUGAAUGGGCUGCAGAACAAGGCCCACGCCGCAAUUGCUCCGUGGAACAUAGGGAAGGAAAGCCUCGCAAGCAGCAGGCGAAGAAUCGAAUUGCGGCCUGCGGCAAUUUGUCAUCAAAACUCAAAGACAUAUUUCAGCUACUUGUCAAUUUGUCAUCGCAUACAAAGCAUCGUCUUCUUGUCAUCAGCAACUUGUUUGCGUACGAUUAUGAGCUAUGCUUUGGCCUACUUCCAUCAGCAAGUGUGCAAUACGUUGAGCUAGCAUCCAGUGGUCACUGGUUAGUUAGCAGUAGUUGUGUACUGCCAGUAUAGUAGUAGCUAACAGGAAGGCACAUUCAGUGUGUCAGUCGACGAGUCCAUACUAAGUCAUAACCUGGUUGUCCGUUAGCUGCAGGCCGGACCCGAUGCGUGGACCAAAAGAGUAUCGGAAUUCAGACACGCCACAUGAUUUUAUUGAUCGGUACACGCUGCAAGUAUGGCUGGGCUGGUCCAAGCCCAAAAUUAUUAAGAGCAAUGACCCGGUUUCAGUUGCAGGCAGCAAAUGGAAGAGAAUACUUGUAGUAUCCAGGAAAAUCUUCCUCUCAAAAACUUUGAAAUAUAUUAGGGCAUUGUUUAGUUCCAAACUUUUUCUUUAAACUUUCAACUUUUUCAUCACAUCAAAACUUUACUAUACACAUAAACUUCCAACUUUUCCAUCACAUCGUUCCAAUUUCAACCAAACUUCCAAUUUUAGCGUGAACUCAACACACCCUAGUAUUUGCUGCAGAACUGUAGAGAAGGAUUAUUAGAGCAUGUAACUGAUGAUGAGAAUGCUGAAUUAUUGAUGCACCAACUCUUCAUCCGGGACUGAUUCAAAGGGAUUUAGUCGAUUUUUCUCCCUCGAUUAAAUGGAAGACACUGGUCUUCUACUCUGUUAUCAUCUGUUCAGGAAACAGGACUGGAGUAGCCACAUUUACCAUCUGUAAUUAUAAAUUUAUAAUAUGCUCAUUUGACAGAAAUGACAUAUAUAUCAUCCAAUGCAAUGGAACAUGAGCAGAGAGUAGUAAUCUAGAGUAAAUGCCCAUCUGUUUGUACAUUAUCUUACCAAGGAUUUUUAUCAAAUCCUACCUGAACGAAAGCAAAGCCGAAAAGAAAAACCAUACUAAAAUAGAAGAGAGAUCAGGGAACAAUACACCUAAACUGCAAGCUGAGAGAAGCAGCACUGAAGAACAGGACACGACAUGGAUCUAUCUAUCAUCAUCUAUUGGAAUCUGGAUUCGGGCCACUCGGAACCUCAUGCUUGCUGUCGUCGAUGCCGGCCGAGUUCCACCUCCGUGGCCGGAACCUCCUCGUCCUCGCCGCCGGCAGCAGAAGGCGCCGUCCACCGGCCGGGACCGACGUCGCCGCCGCUGGCAACGACGACGACCUCACCUUUGCUUCUUCUUCUUCUUCCCCCGGAGGAGGAGCCAGCGACACGACGAGCAUAACGGCGCAGAGAAACGCACAGAGGCCGAGAAGCGGCAGCGCAGCAGCUGGUCUUCUUCCAUCUCCAAUCCAUCGAGCUCUUGCCAUGCAAGAAUCAGCUUGCAGUAAAGCCUUCGAUCUCCCCGAUCUCACAAGCCACCACUAACCAAAACUCCCAUGGGCAUCUGCCAGAAGACGAGACGAGAGCUUAGCUGAAAUAUCGCUCUCUCUAGCUAGCUGCCUCUCACUCUCACUCUCUCAGCGUGUGUGAGCUCAGCUAGCUCUUGUACCGUGGAGACAAUGCAAGCAGGCAGCUGUUCUAUUCUUUCCAGGAUUCACACAUGGGUUGGCUACUUGGCUUCUCUGGAGUCUGGACCAAAAGUUUGGGUUUCUUGCUUUGCUUGCUUGCUUGCAGGUGAAAUGGGAGAUGACCAUGUGUAUGCAAAGGCACGGAGCAGGGGUGGCUGCUUCUUAUCUACUGCCCGUGAAGAGAAGCAGCUGAGAGAGCUUUGUGUGAUCCAUCGUGUAUCUGACAGCAUCAUCACCAUACAUCGAUGGCUUUGUAGACGCCUCAGCAAGACAUGCCCCUAGAUUGUACUGCUACUGUAGCUAUAUCCAUUGCAUGCAUACGCAUGCUAAUUACUUGCAGUAUGGAGUACGUAGUACUAUGACUGUAUGAGCGUGAAUCAACAUCUGCAUUGUACUACGUACUGCAGAUGUAUGAUUGCACUCGCUAGGUGUGUGAGAAAUUUACAAUUGCUUCGAGUAUUUACUUUUGUCGGUCGCGAGCUCGCAGGAAAAAGUUGAUCAUGGAGGACGGAGCAGCAAAAGGACGCAAAGGACGCGAUGGAAAAGACGUAAGACGGCAUCAACUGAGAGCUUUGCUCAUCUUGAACAAAAUGAUGGGGGUGCUACGAUGUUAGCUCUGCCAUUCAACGUUUCCACAGGCUAAGCUAGCAAGCAUGAUAAAAAGGAGAAGAUUGUGAAAGCCUGAAAGGAGUAGUAGCAUGCAUGCAUGCAGUGCAGCCAGGCCAAGCCAAACAAGAAUGCUUUUCCAUGGACUGACGACAAACACAAGCUGCAUCUACACAAAUUCAUGUCCAACCCUGUAGCAGACAGGCAAUGUU
This is a non-coding RNA of Oryza sativa Japonica Group (Japanese rice), 3158 nucleotides long. The record is from RefSeq and is a predicted model, not a curated record. NCBI's taxonomy places the organism in Eukaryota, Viridiplantae, Streptophyta, Magnoliopsida, Poales, Poaceae.